GUUCGACCCCCUCCUCUACUA
This 21-nucleotide transfer RNA is filed under the name Neochen jubata (Orinoco goose). Its description in RNAcentral is "partial tRNA-Met". The record is from RNAcentral. Lineage: Eukaryota; Metazoa; Chordata; Aves; Anseriformes; Anatidae.